RNAcentral lists this ribosomal RNA (592 nucleotides) under Saccharomycopsis fibuligera. Its description in RNAcentral is "LSU rRNA". It matches the Rfam family "Eukaryotic large subunit ribosomal RNA", at positions 45 to 658 of the family's 3401-position model. The record is from RNAcentral. Lineage: Eukaryota; Fungi; Ascomycota; Saccharomycetes; Ascoideales; Saccharomycopsidaceae.
AAUAGCGGAGGAAAAGAAACCAACAGGGAUUGCCUUAGUAACGGCGAGUGAAGCGGCAAAAGCUCAAAUUUGAAAGCUAGCACCUUCGGUGUUCGCGUUGUAAUUUGAAGAUAGUUUCCUUGAGUAGUCCUUUAUCUAUGUUCCUUGGAACAGGACGUCAUAGAGGGUGAGAACCCCGUAUGAUUUUGGAUACUACUCUUUGUGGGAUUCUAUCGAAGAGUCGAGUUGUUUGGGAAUGCAGCUCUAAGUGGGUGGUAAAUUCCAUCUAAAGCUAAAUAUUGGCGAGAGACCGAUAGCGAACAAGUACAGUGAUGGAAAGAUGAAAAGAACUCUGAAGAGAGAGUGAAAAAGUACGUGAAAUUGCUGAAAGGGAAGGGCUUGAGGUCAGACUUGGUGUUUAAUGAUUAUCAGUUCUUCUUGGACUGUGCACUCGUUUUUCACCGGGCCAAUAUCAGUUUUAGCGGUAGAGUACCCCUUGAAAUGUGGCUUCCUUCGGGGAGUGUUAUAGUCUUGGGGAGAUCUACUUGCUGGGACUGAGGACUGCGCUUCGGCAAGGAUAUUGGCGUAAUGACCUUAAGCCGCCCGUCUUGAA